AUCCGAAAUUCAAUAUAGGUGGAUACAUACCCUAUACAUCUGUCUCGCUUCCACUCAUUUACCGAUGAAAUUUCGAAUACUUGAACGGUCGACUCAAAAAAAAGAAUAUUUCAUUGUGAUAAAAAAAAAUUGAAAUUAUAUAUUAUAUAUCGCUAGAUUAAUUGUUAUGUUCUAUAAUAUUUAACAGUUAUUUGAAAUUCUAUAUUAUAUUCUUUAAUAUAUUCAUAUUAAUUAUGAAUAGCGAAUAUGAAUAGCUUAAUAGUUAAUAGCAAAGAUUCUAAGAGUUUAUUGAAUUCCUAUGCAUGUCGAAUUUAUGUUAUGUGAGCCUGCUUAGCUCAGAGGUUAGAGCAUCGCAUUUGUAAUG
Molecule: transfer RNA, 364 nt
Filed under: Arctium pseudarctium
Lineage: Eukaryota; Viridiplantae; Streptophyta; Magnoliopsida; Asterales; Asteraceae
Description: tRNA-Thr
Source: RNAcentral